CACGUAAGGAUUUAAAGGGUGAACAAACCUACUUUGUUUGACUGCUGCAUCAAACUGUAACCUUGAGCCAACAUCGAGGUGCCAAUCCCUCUUGUCAAUAUGGUCUCUUAAAGAGGAUUAGCCUGUUAUCCCUAAGGUAGCUUUUUCUACUUAUCGUAAAAACGGAUCGUUAUUAGAAAAUUUGAAGAGAGGUUUUAGGUGCUCUCUAGUUGCCCCAACUAAACCUUUGUUAUAUAUGAUAUAGAUUUCAGGUAAAGCUCUAUAGGGUCUUUUCGUCUUUUUUAAGAAUUCAAGUCUCUUCACUUGAGGGUCAAUUUAUAUUUGUAAAAAUGAGACAGUUGAGCUCUCGUAUAUUCAUUCAUUCCAGCCAUCAAUUAAACGGCAAAUGAUUAUGCUACCUUAGCACGGUCAGGCUACCGCGGCCAUUUACCCCGUAGGGCAUAGGGCAGAAUGGACCUCUAAUAUUAAUAUCUAGAGGCGAUGUUUUU
This 488-nucleotide ribosomal RNA is filed under the name Polydora hoplura. Its description in RNAcentral is "partial large subunit ribosomal RNA". Lineage: Eukaryota; Metazoa; Annelida; Polychaeta; Spionida; Spionidae. The record is from RNAcentral.